RNAcentral lists this long non-coding RNA (6135 nucleotides) under Daucus carota (carrot). RNAcentral's name for it is "long non-coding RNA (DCAR_LNC007410)". The record is from RNAcentral. Lineage: Eukaryota; Viridiplantae; Streptophyta; Magnoliopsida; Apiales; Apiaceae.
GACAUUGGUGAGAGCAGAGGAGGAGAUCAGGAGUAAAGAGUUAAGGAGGAGAUUUUGAUUUCAAAAGAUUUAGUUUAGCAAGGUAUCUAAACCUUAAUUCAUCUUUCUCUAUUUAAUAUUAAUGUAAAUUCUGUUUUUUUAAUUGCUUUUAAUGGAGAUACCUUAGUCCUUACUCGCGUGAUCCUUUCUCCUAUUCCUUUUCACUGCUAGUUUUAUAAACAAAUGAACAACUUCACAUAAUAAGAUGGCAGCAUCUACUUUAUUGGUGUGGGAUUUUGUAUUUCACCCAAAUUCAUAUUAUUUAGGGUUAGGGUUCCCGGCUACAAUUUGGGGCUUCUUGAUUGUUGUUGGUAAUUAAAUGAAUGAAAGGUGGGAUUUGUCUUGUUCGGAGGAAGGAUACGCUGUGAGAGAUUGACGGAAGAGAAGGGAGGCCGGAGCCAGCCACGGCGUUGCCGUCGGCAUCGGUUCGCGGCGGUAACAAGGCUGCAGUAGAGAGAGAGAGAGGGGGGGGGGUUGGAUUGGAGAGGAGAGGAAGGUGGCAGCCGUCGGAGAUAUUACCGGCCGGCAGUGGUGGUGUUGGAUUGUGGAGGAAAAGAGCAGAGAUGAGGGAGAAGGGAAGUUUAGUAAUUUAAUUAAAAAAAAAAACGGGUUCUGAUAAAUAAGCUGCUGUGCAUGAAUUUGAUGUUGAAUCGUAAAAUAAAAUUCAUAUUUGGAUUCCUUGUGAAAAAUUAGAUGGAAUGGACUCUAGAAUCACAUGAUUUGGAUGAAAAAUGAGAGAGUAAUGCUUGGUCAAAGUUUGGCCAUGAGUGUUGACUUCGGGGAGAGAGAAAAUGAGAUGGGUGUGUUGGAGAAGAUGAUGACGUGGCAGUUUGUGAUUGGCUAGAAUAUUGAAAAUUGGUAUUUAAUUAAUUUGAGGGAUUAAACGAGGGAAUUAGUAAAAGUGUAAAACAUGAAAGUUUAAGUAAAUAUUAUUUCGGAUUUAAUGGUGGAGCCUAAUGUUGGGUACAAGAGAUAUUAAAUAAAUUUAUUAGUGAAUUUAAGUUAAUAAUUGAAUAAAAAGGGGUUAUUUAGAAUAAUAAGAUUCUGGGGUAAUAACAUGAGUUAGUAACAAAUAUUUUACUUAAAUCAAUAAUAAAUGAGAAACGAUCUAAGUAAAUAUUAAAUGGGGAAUUAUAAGUAGAUUUUACGUGAUCAUCAUUUUAAGACAAGAUUUCUAAAUUUAUUAUUUUGUGACAUAGAAGAUUGAUUAUCUGGAAGACGAGCUUGAUUAUUCAACUUAAAUUGGAACGUGGUGCACUGUAAGUAUAUACUGUACCCUUCACUGUGGAUAUCUUGCGAUGUUUUGAUGAAUAUUUUAUUGAUGAUUUUCUGAUGAGAAAUGAGUAUUCUUGCAUUGAUACCUGAUGAACUGAUGAUGAUGCUUCCUUAUUGGAAGUAAAGCUAAACCAAUUGUUUAGCUGGCCGGGAUCCCAACUUGAUGAAUUGAUGAACUUAUCGUGCUUGAAUACUCAUACUCAUACUCAUCUUGGUGUGUGAAACUGUUUUGAUGACUCUGAUGAAAUAUUGAUUUGCUUCACCAAGUUUUGUGAAUAAAACUCAGUUGAAAUGUACAUAUAUGCUUACUGAGCUUUAUGAGCUCAUUCCUUUGUAUGUACUAACUUUACAGGAAAGAAUUCUGGAGAAGAAUAUUCAGGCAAGGAUAAAAGUGUGAUGAAAUGAAGUGCUAGACUUGGUUGGAUUUGCAAGUAGAAGUUUAGUAGAAGUAUUAUGUAAUCGAAAGAAAUAUUAGUGAACUUUUAGAAGAGUGAUGUAAGACUCUGAUGUAAGGUAAAAUAUGCUUUUAAAUUAUAUCAAGUUUAUGAUUAUAAAGAUAUAUUUCGGUGUGUUCAGUAGAAUGGCACCCCCGGGUCGGGUUGCUGAGGUCAUCCCGGGCCGGGGGCGUCACAGGUGGUGUCAGAGCUUCAGGUUAUAAGUUAUUGAAAUCAGAAUACAGGUGGUAUCAGAGCUAUAGGUUCGAGAAUCGGCAAAAGUUGGAUUAAGACUUUAGACUAGUGUGAUUUUAAGUUAGAAAAGAGGUUUAGGGGAUAUAUGAAUCUUAGUUGUGAAUGUGUGGAUAAACUAUGUGUUUAGUACUUACUAUAGUUGGAACCCCUAGAGUCAAAGGGACUGUAGAUCCCGUUGGGGCCCAGAUAUGGCUAAGAGAAAUAAAGAAGACUUUUGGAAUAGUUGGGUGGAAAAGGAUAAGAAAACUAUCUUGAUGCUAAUAUGCUUAAUGGAGAGGCUAAUUAUUGGUGGGAGGCUAAGCAAGCUAUAUAAGAGUCUAGUGUGAUAUAGAAAUAGCUGACUAGGAAGUAAUUAUAGUAGAUCAAGUUUGUCCAAGUUGUGUAAUAACCGUUCAAAAUAAAAUCUUUGAGAAAAAUGUUAUUUCCUUGAUAUUUCUUCAAUCCGAUUGGGAUGAACAACCCUAAUUAUAGGGGACACAAGGUAUACCUGUCUAUGUGAUAGGAGUUAGAUGGGACGCCAUCACUUGUGUGUGUUGUGAUUACAAGAAGGUUAACAACCUUUAGUAGUGUCUUAAUUUGGACACGCAACACUUAGUUCAUUUGAUCAUAUUGGUCUCCCAAUCAUCCUUUUAUUUUAAAUGAAAUCUAUUUUGAAACCUCUGUGAUCGGUGAUUACCACUGUGAAAGAAUUCUAUCGAAGAAAGUUUUUGAAAUUCUUAUUUCCUUUGAGUUCUUCUCAAAAUACUCAUAUUUCAAAUUCUUUGAUUUUGUUCUUUUCAAAAAUACGAUUCUUCUUUUAAAAAUGUUUUAGGAAGGUGUUGUAUGGUGACGUCAGAUAUAGACCCCCGGAUUUGAAGGAUGCCACAUCGAUUAUUACGAGUUAAAUAAUACGAAAUUUUCCCUAGGGCUGAUGAUUUGUUUGACCAAUUGAAGGAAACAUCUUACUUUCUAAGAUAGACUUGAGAUCUGAAUACCAUCAAUUAAAGAUCAGGCCUAAAAAUGUACCUAAGAUGGUCUUUAGGACCCGACAUGAACAUUGUGAAUUUUUAAGAGAUGUUUUUGGAUUGAUUAAUGCAUCCAUAGUAUUUAUAGAUCUUAUGAACAUGAUGUGUUCUUAUGAAACAUGGAAAAGUGAUAGCAUAUGCUUGUAGACAACUUAAGAACCACAAAUUGAGAUAUCCUACUCAGGACCUAAAAUUAACUACUAUAGUAUCUGUUUUAAAGAUUUGGCGACCUUAUUUGUAUGGUGAGAAGUGUGAGAUAUUACUUAUCAUAAGAGUUUAAAAUACUUGUUUACUCAAAAAGAGUUAAAUAUGAGACAAAUGAGAUGGUUAGAAUUGAUAAAGGACUAUGAGGGUACGAUUAACAAUCGCCCAUGGAAAGCCAAUGUUGCUAAUGCAUUAAUAGAAAAGAAAGAGUUAAUGUUAUGUUUUUAUCAAAGGAAUUGAUUCAGGAAAGGGAAAAGCUAGGAUUAGAAGUUAAGAAUUCAAAGCAUAAGGAGGGAAGGAUUUAUGAGAAGUUAGUGCAACCAGAGUUAAUCGAAAGAAGUUACGUGGGAAUUAGAAGAUGUAAUGAGAAAAAGCUACCAAUAGUUGUUUAGCAUUAAUCGGGAUUCCGAGGACGAAAUCCUUUAAGGAGGGAAGAAUGUAACACCCGUGAAAUUCACAGAUACGUAAAAGAAAUGCGUUUAUUUAAUUUAAUUAUUUAUUGUGCGAAAAGACUAUUUAUUAGUCUCAUAGUUAAUAAAAAAUAAUGAUGCAGGAGUAUUAAUUAAGAUAUUAUAGUUUCGAGAAUGCUAGAAAACAUGUGGGUUAUAUUGUGUGGGAUGGUAAUGUUUAGAUAUGUACGUUAAACCGAGAGCUGCGUUUAUACAAAAAUCUAUUAGACGUGAAUAAUUAUGUAUUUAAUGACUCACGAGUAAAUAAUACGUCUUAAUUGAGAUGGUUAUUUUAUCUCGAUUAUUUUAUAAAGUUGAGGAUUAAUCAGAGAAUAUUAUAAGUAAUAAUUUAUUUAAUUUUGGUGUUCAAUAUUUCAUUAUUUACGUAAAUAUUUUUGAUAAUUAAAGACCGAAAUGAGUAAAUGAUCACGUUAUUAGAACCUGGUUCAGGAAUAAUAAUUCAUAAACGAAACAAAUUAUGGAGGCUCGUAGCGUUACUUGGCACCCAAGUAAUCCAAAUUGGUGACCAAGCAACCUAGUAAUUAGUAGUUAGUUAAUUACACCAUUAAGGAACUAAUUGUGAUUAAUAAUUGCUAUAAAAAGCCAAAAGAUAGCUACUUUCGUUUUCUUUAUAUACAUAAAAUAAGAGACAUUGGUGAGAGCAGAGGAGGAGAUCAGGAGUAAAGAGUUAAGGAGGAGAUUUUGAUUUCAAAAGAUUUAGUUUAGCAAGGUAUCUAAACCUUAAUUCAUCUUUCUCUAUUUAAUAUUAAUGUAAAUUCUGUUUUUUUAAUUGCUUUUAAUGGAGAUACCUUAGUCCUUACUCGCGUGAUCCUUUCUCCUAUUCCUUUUCACUGCUAGUUUUAUAAACAAAUGAACAACUUCACAUAAUAAGAUGGCAGCAUCUACUUUAUUGGUGUGGGAUUUUGUAUUUCACCCAAAUUCAUAUUAUUUAGGGUUAGGGUUCCCGGCUACAAUUUGGGGCUUCUUGAUUGUUGUUGGUAAUUAAAUGAAUGAAAGGUGGGAUUUGUCUUGUUCGGAGGAAGGAUACGCUGUGAGAGAUUGACGGAAGAGAAGGGAGGCCGGAGCCAGCCACGGCGUUGCCGUCGGCAUCGGUUCGCGGCGGUAACAAGGCUGCAGUAGAGAGAGAGAGAGGGGGGGGGGUUGGAUUGGAGAGGAGAGGAAGGUGGCAGCCGUCGGAGAUAUUACCGGCCGGCAGUGGUGGUGUUGGAUUGUGGAGGAAAAGAGCAGAGAUGAGGGAGAAGGGAAGUUUAGUAAUUUAAUUAAAAAAAAAAACGGGUUCUGAUAAAUAAGCUGCUGUGCAUGAAUUUGAUGUUGAAUCGUAAAAUAAAAUUCAUAUUUGGAUUCCUUGUGAAAAAUUAGAUGGAAUGGACUCUAGAAUCACAUGAUUUGGAUGAAAAAUGAGAGAGUAAUGCUUGGUCAAAGUUUGGCCAUGAGUGUUGACUUCGGGGAGAGAGAAAAUGAGAUGGGUGUGUUGGAGAAGAUGAUGACGUGGCAGUUUGUGAUUGGCUAGAAUAUUGAAAAUUGGUAUUUAAUUAAUUUGAGGGAUUAAACGAGGGAAUUAGUAAAAGUGUAAAACAUGAAAGUUUAAGUAAAUAUUAUUUCGGAUUUAAUGGUGGAGCCUAAUGUUGGGUACAAGAGAUAUUAAAUAAAUUUAUUAGUGAAUUUAAGUUAAUAAUUGAAUAAAAAGGGGUUAUUUAGAAUAAUAAGAUUCUGGGGUAAUAACAUGAGUUAGUAACAAAUAUUUUACUUAAAUCAAUAAUAAAUGAGAAACGAUCUAAGUAAAUAUUAAAUGGGGAAUUAUAAGUAGAUUUUACGUGAUCAUCAUUUUAAGACAAGAUUUCUAAAUUUAUUAUUUUGUGACAUUAAAGAUUGAUUAUCUAGAAGACGAGCUUGAUUAUUCAACUUAAAUUGGAACGUGGUGCACUGUAAGUAUAUACUGUACCCUUCACUGUGGAUAUCUUGCGAUGUUUUGAUGAAUAUUUUAUUGAUGAUUUUCUAAUGAGAAAUGAGUAUUCUUGCAUUGAUACCUGAUGAACUGAUGAUGAUGCUUCCUUAUUGGAAGCAAAGCUAAACCAAUUGUUUAGCUGGCCGGGAUCCCAACUUGAUGAAUUGAUGAACUUAUCGUGCUUGAAUACUCAUACUCAUACUCAUCUUGGUGUGUGAAACUGUUUUGAUGACUCUGAUGAAAUAUUGAUUUGCUUCACCAAGUUUUGUGAAUAAAACUCAGUUGAAAUGUACAUAUAUGCUUACUGAGCUUUAUGAGCUCAUUCCUUUGUAUGUACUAACUUUACAGGAAAGAAUUCUGGAGAAGAAUAUUCAGGCAAGGAUAAAAGUGUGAUGAAAUGAAGUGCUAGACUUGGUUGGAUUUGCAAGUAGAAGUUUAGUAGAAGUAUUAUGUAAUCGAAAGAAAUAUUAGUGAACUUUUAGAAGAGUGAUGUAAGACUCUGAUGUAAG